CAUAUGUUUCAAGGGGUGGUGAAAUUCCACACCGGCGGUGAUAGUCCGCUAACAGACCCGCGCGGUCUGCCGAAUCGGUGAAAUUCCGAUACCGACGGUAUAGUCCGGAUGAAAGAAACAGGCU
This 124-nucleotide non-coding RNA is filed under the name Ruminococcus sp. RNAcentral's name for it is "FMN sequence". It matches the Rfam family "FMN riboswitch aptamer (RFN element)". Rfam says of the family: The RFN element is a highly conserved domain that is found frequently in the 5'-untranslated regions of prokaryotic mRNAs that encode for flavin mononucleotide (FMN) biosynthesis and transport proteins. This element is a metabolite-dependent riboswitch that directly binds FMN in the absence of proteins. RNAcentral also lists the same sequence under 1 other name. The record is from RNAcentral. Lineage: Bacteria; Bacillati; Bacillota; Clostridia; Eubacteriales; Oscillospiraceae.